RNAcentral lists this ribosomal RNA (464 nucleotides) under uncultured Geobacteraceae bacterium. RNAcentral describes it as "partial 16S ribosomal RNA". It matches the Rfam family "Bacterial small subunit ribosomal RNA", at positions 338 to 794 of the family's 1533-position model. The record is from RNAcentral. Lineage: Bacteria; Pseudomonadati; Thermodesulfobacteriota; Desulfuromonadia; Geobacterales; Geobacteraceae.
CCUACGGGAGGCAGCAGUGGGGAAUUUUGCGCAAUGGGGGCAACCCUGACGCAGCAACGCCGCGUGAGUGAUGAAGGCCUUCGGGUCGUAAAGCUCUGUCAGAGGGGAAGAAAUGUAGGUGGUGAACAACCAUUCUGUUUGACGGUACCCUCAAAGGAAGCACCGGCUAACUCCGUGCCAGCAGCCGCGGUAAUACGGAGGGUGCGAGCGUUGUUCGGAAUUAUUGGGCGUAAAGCGCGUGUAGGCGGUUUGGUAAGUCUGAUGUAAAAGCCCCGGGCACAACCUGGAAAGUGCAUUGGAUACUGGCAGACUUGAGUACGGGAGAGGAGAGUGAAAUUCCCAGUGUAGGAGUAAAAUCCGUAGAUAUUGGGAGGAACACCGGUGGCGAGGGCGGCUCUCUGGACCGAUACUGACGCUGAGGGGCGAAAGCGGGGGGAGCAAACGGGAUUAGAUACCCCUGUAGU